GUGGGGAAUCUUCCGCAAUGGACGAAAGUCUGACGGAGCAACGCCGCGUGAGUGAAGAAGGUUUUCGGAUCGUAAAGCUCUUUCGUUAGGGACGAACGUGCUCUUUGUGAAUAAUGAGGAGUAAUGACGGUACCUAAAUAAGAAGCCACGGCUAACUACGUGCCAGCAGCCGCGGUAAUACGUAGGUGGCAAGCGUUGUCCGGAAUUAUUGGGCGUAAAGCGCGCGCAGGCGGGAUAUCAAGUCUGUCUUAAAAGUGCGAGGCUCAACCUCGUGAGGGGACAGAAACUGGUAUUCUUGAGUGUCGGAGAGGAAAGUGGAAUUCCCAGUGUAGCGGUGAAAUGCGUAGAGAUUUGGAAGAACACCAGUGGCGAAGGCGACUUUCUGGACGAUGUCUGACGCUGAGGCGCGAAAGCUAGGGGAGCGAACGGGAUUAGAAACCCCAGUAGUCC
Molecule: ribosomal RNA, 450 nt
Filed under: uncultured bacterium
Lineage: Bacteria
Description: partial 16S ribosomal RNA
Rfam family: Bacterial small subunit ribosomal RNA
Source: RNAcentral